CAAGGAUCGACUACAUGACAUAAAUGUUAAUGUAAUGUGAUCAUUUAACCCUGACUUACUUGGUAGAUUUUCUACUUUCUAAUAUUUCUCUUUAAUUACAAAGACAUUUCCAUUCGCCUCUGAUUUGCAUCGUCGCCACACAAGCAGUCUUUGAUGAAAAACAUCAUUUCCCAUAAGCCCAUGCCGGCAGUUUCACAGAAGGGGAAGCAAAAUGGCGGAAUCGGAUGGGAUGGGCCUCUUUUUGUGUUCCUUAAAGAAAGAUGUUUCGUGCCUCUGCAUGCCGUUUUAAAGUUAACAAAAACAUUGUGGCGGUUUUUAGCAGAUCAUCAGCUUUGGGAUUCAUCAGCCGGCUCAUCUCUGCACUAUGAAGAUGGGAACAGAUGGACAGGCUGAAAAAGACGAAGGAGAAAUUGUGCCAGGCAAGGUAAGUGUCAUAUCAUCUUGUUAAUGCAGGAGCAGGUUGGACAGUCACUGUGAUCAUAUAUGUAUUAUAGACCAUAAGAUUAAGAUUCAGCAUGCACAGCACUCUGCUGAAUACGCUUAAUGUCUUCUGUCUUGUCUUCUUGUAGUCACAAUCUGAACAAUGUCCUGAUGAAGAGGAGGAAGUGGAGUCUAAAGCAGACAGAAGGACAGUUGGCUUAAGAUGUUUCCAAGGAAACCGAGAGACCUCAGAGGAUGAGCCUAGUGAACUGGGGGCUGCUGUUGUUACUUCCUCUGAGCCUGUAUUUCUUGUGCCUCAGCUCAACUCACAACCUCAGUACCUGGACUGUGACUUUGAUGUGGAGCUAACAGCAGAAGUGAAAGUCGAGAAUGGCGCAUCUCUUGCUUUGUUGACAUUUGUUACCCCAAAUCUUGGUUACCAGAAGCCAGGAUCCUUCUUAAAUGGAAAUUUUCUCUUCCCACCAUCUUUAAAGAAAAAGAGAGUUUCUAUAGACAGUUUUUUGCCUUCAGGCUCUUUUCCUGGAUUUUACUCAAGUGUAACUCACGCCCCAGGACUGGCCUGUUCCCUCAAAAACUCUGAUAGGGUCAUAGAGAUUGCCAAAAGCCCUCUCCCCUCAUCACCCUCCAACUCACCAUCAUCUCCUUCAUCUGCUCCCUCUUCCCCCUCCUCCUCCCCCU
RNAcentral lists this long non-coding RNA (1119 nucleotides) under Sinocyclocheilus grahami. RNAcentral describes it as "lncRNA (ENSSGRG00000041151.1)". The record is from RNAcentral. Lineage: Eukaryota; Metazoa; Chordata; Actinopteri; Cypriniformes; Cyprinidae.